RNAcentral lists this ribosomal RNA (253 nucleotides) under uncultured bacterium. Its description in RNAcentral is "partial 16S ribosomal RNA". It matches the Rfam family "Bacterial small subunit ribosomal RNA", at positions 524 to 776 of the family's 1533-position model. The record is from RNAcentral.
UACAGAGGUCCCAAGCGUUGUUCGGAUUCACUGGGCGUAAAGGGUGCGUAGGUGGUGGUCUAAGUCGGGUGUGAAAUCUCCGGGCUCAACCCGGAGGCUGCGCUCGAAACUGGAUCGCUGGAGGAUGGGAGGGGAGACUGGAAUUCUCGGUGUAGCAGUGAAAUGCGUAGAUAUCGAGAGGAACACCGGUGGCGAAGGCGAGUCUCUGGACCAUUCCUGACACUGAGGCACGAAAGCCGGGGGAGCAAACAGG